This 578-nucleotide ribosomal RNA is filed under the name uncultured bacterium. Its description in RNAcentral is "bacterial SSU rRNA". It matches the Rfam family "Bacterial small subunit ribosomal RNA", at positions 321 to 915 of the family's 1533-position model. The record is from RNAcentral.
GAGAUACGGCCCAGACUCCUACGGGAGGCAGCAGUCGGGAAUAUUGCGCAAUGGAGGAAACUCUGACGCAGUGACGCCGCGUAUAGGAUGAAGGUUCUCGGAUUGUAAACUAUUGUCAUUAGGGAAGAUUAAAGACUGUACCUAAAGAGGAAGCCCCGGCUAACUAUGUGCCAGCAGCCGCGGUAAUACAUAGGGGGCAAGCGUUAUCCGGAUUUAUUGGGUGUAAAGGGUGCGUAGACGGAGGAGCAAGUUGGUUGUGAAAUCCCUCGGCUUAACUGAGGAACUGCAACUGAAACUACUUCCCUUGAGUGUCGGAGGGGAAAGUGGAAUUCCUAGUGUAGCGGUGAAAUGCGUAGAUAUUAGGAGGAACACCGGUGGCGAAGGCGACUUUCUGGACGAUAACUGACGUUGAUGCACGAAAGUGUGGGGAGCAAACAGGAUUAGAUACCCUGGUAGUCCACACCGUAAACGAUGGAUACUAGGUGUAGGGUGUAUUAAGCACUCUGUGCCGCCGCUAACGCAUUAAGUAUCCCACCUGGGGAGUACGACCGCAAGGUUGAAACUCAAAGGAAUUGACG